This 483-nucleotide ribosomal RNA is filed under the name uncultured bacterium. Its description in RNAcentral is "partial 16S ribosomal RNA". It matches the Rfam family "Bacterial small subunit ribosomal RNA", at positions 30 to 507 of the family's 1533-position model. The record is from RNAcentral.
AUUGAACGCUGGCGGCAGGCCUAACACAUGCAAGUCGAGCGGAUGAAGGGAGCUUGCUCCUGGAUUCAGCGGCGGACGGGUGAGUAAUGCCUAGGAAUCUGCCUGGUAGUGGGGGAUAACGUCCGGAAACGGGCGCUAAUACCGCAUACGUCCUGAGGGAGAAAGUGGGGAUCUUCGGACCUCAUGCUAUCAGAUGAGCCUAGGUCGGAUUAGCUAGUUGGUGGGGUAAAGGCCUACCAAGGCGACGAUCCGUAACUGGUCUGAGAGGAUGAUCAGUCACACUGGAACUGAGACACGGUCCAGACUCCUACGGGAGGCAGCAGUGGGGAAUAUUGGACAAUGGGCGAAAGCCUGAUCCAGCCAUGCCGCGUGUGUGAAGAAGGUCUUCGGAUUGUAAAGCACUUUAAGUUGGGAGGAAGGGCAGUAAGUUAAUACCUUGCUGUUUUGACGUUACCAACAGAAUAAGCACCGGCUAACUUCGUG